ACCGCAACACCUGCCGAUCUAAAUUCUUUGAUGAAAGAUUCGAGUAUGAGCAUAUAGGGUGGGACCCGAAAGAUGGUGAACUAUGCCUGAAUAGGACGAAGCCAGGGGAAACUCUGGUGGAGGUUCGAGUGGAUUCUAACGUGCAAAUUGAUCUUUAAAUUUGGGUAUAGGGGCGAAAGACUAAUCGAACCAUCUAGUAGCUGGUUCAUUCCGAAAUUUCCCUCAGGAUAGCUGCAACUUAUGAAAUAGUUUUAUGAGGUAAAGCGAAUGAUUAGAGGUUUCUGGGAUGGAAUAUCCUGGACCUAUUCUCAAACUUUCAAUGGGUAAGAAAAGUGUGAUGUUUAAUUAAUCAUACUAUUUGAAUAUGAGUUGCAAGUGGGCCAUUCCGGGUAAGCUGGACUGGCAAUGCGGGAUCAACCGAACGCUAUGUUACGGCGCCAGAUUGUUCGCUCAGUUGGAUGUAAAAGGUGUUAGUUCAUCUAGACAGCAGGACGGUGGCCAUGGAAGUCGGAAUCCGCUAAGGAGUGUGUAACAACUCACCUGCCGAAUGAAGUAGCCCUGAAAAUGGAUGGCGCUUAAGCGAACAGCCUAUACAUAGCCAUUAUUGUUAGGAUUAUACAAUAAUGAGUAGGAAUGCGUGAUGAAUGUUGUGAAGUAUGAUGUGUGAACAUGUAUGGAACAUUCAUUAGUGCAGAUCUUGGUGGAAGUAGCAAAUAUUCAAAUGAGAUCUUUGAAGACUGAAGUGGAGAAAGGUUCCAUAGGAAUAGUGAUUAUCUAUGGGUUAGUCGAUCCUAAGAGAUAGGUGAAAUCCAUUGAAAAGUCAAUUUCGAUUGACAUUUAUCGAAAGGGAAUCAGGUUAAUAUUCCUGAACCAAAGAGAAGGGUAAACGGUAACGUAUAGGGGUCUCAAGACAUUGAUGUUAUUCCCAGGAAGAGUUUUCUUUUCUUGUUAACAAAUGGGCAGUGCUUGGAAUCGAUUCAGUCGGCGAUAAGCAUUGUUAUUUGGUAAAGUACUACUAUUUUGUGUAGUAUCUGGUGCAAUGACAUGAAUCCUUGAAAAUUGAGACUUUUGUUUUCCCGAAGCUUUGGUCGUACUAAUAACCGCAUCAGGUCUCCAAGGUGAAUAGCCUCUAGUUAAUAGAAUAAUGUAGAUAAGGGAAGUCGGCAAAUUAGAUCCGUAACUUCGGGAUAAGGAUUGGCUCUGAGGGCUAAGUGGGUUUAAGGUGUUAAUAGUAUAAGUUUGAUAUGGGAUUGAGUGUUUUGAGUUGCUUCGGUGAUUUGAAAUAUUUGGUUCUAAUGUCUUAGUUGUCUAUUUUCAUCUACCACUAUGAAUAGCUAACUCAGAACUGGUACGGACAAGGGGAAUCCGACUGUUUAAUUAAAACAAAGCAUUGUGAUGGUGUGAAAGAUAUGUUGACACAAUGUGAAUUCUGCCCAGUGCUCUGAAUGUGAAAGUGGCGUAAUUCAAGCAAGCGCGGGUAAACGGCGGGAGUAACUAUGACUCUCUUAAGGUAGCCAAAUGCCUCGUCAUCUAAUUAGUGACGCGCAUGAAUGGAUUAAUGAGAUUCCCACUGUCCCUAUCUACUAUCUAGCGAAACCACAGCCAAGGGAACGGGCUUGGAAAUAUCAGCGGGGAAAGAAGACCCUGUUGAGCUUGACUCUAGUUUAACAUUGUGAAAUGACUUUAGAGGUGUAGCAUAGGUGGGAGGAGGUAACUCCGAUCCUGAAAUACCACUACUCUGAAUGUUGUUUUACUUAUUCCAUGAAAGAGGAUACUUACUUAAUUGUAAGUGUUAUGAUGUAAACUUUGGUGACCUCUUUGGGAGACAUUGUUAGGUGGGGAGUUCGGCUGGGGCGGCACAUCUGUUAAAGAAUAACACAGGUGUCCUAAGAUGAGCUCAAUAAGAACAGAAAUCUUAUGUAGAACAAAAGGGUAAAAGCUCAUUUGAUUUUGCUUUUCAGUAUGAAUACAAACUAUAAAAGUAUGGCCUAUCGAUCCUUUACAUAAAGGGAGAUCCUUGGUAGAGGUGUCAGAAAAGUUACCACAGGGAUAACUGGCUUGUGGCUCAAGCGUAACGCAGGUAUCCGAAAGCGACUACAGGGAGGAAUUUUUGGACUAUAUCCUUGCGGUAAAGGUCGUUGACAAUAUCUAUGACGCUAUCGAGCAUAUCCAGAAGUACUCUACAGGUCACUCGGAGUGCAUAGUAACUGAUAAUAUUAUGGCAGCUGAAGAAUUCCAGCGCAGAAUUGACGCUGCGGCAGUAUAUGUAAACGCUUCGACGAGGUUCACGGACGGCUAUGAGUUCGGUCUUGGUGCGGAAAUCGGAAUCUCUACGCAGAAGCUCCAUGCAAGAGGACCUAUGGGACUUCGCGAGCUUACAACCUAUAAAUAUCUUAU
This 2397-nucleotide ribosomal RNA is filed under the name human gut metagenome. Its description in RNAcentral is "eukaryotic LSU rRNA". It matches the Rfam family "Eukaryotic large subunit ribosomal RNA", at positions 752 to 3401 of the family's 3401-position model. The record is from RNAcentral.